This 569-nucleotide unclassified non-coding RNA is filed under the name Bombus terrestris (buff-tailed bumblebee). RNAcentral describes it as "misc RNA ENSBTSG00005036430.1". The record is from RNAcentral. Lineage: Eukaryota; Metazoa; Arthropoda; Insecta; Hymenoptera; Apidae.
CCAGAGGUUGUGAAUGCACUAUCACAAAAUUUACAGUGAUGUGGCUUGGUCCCAGUAUGUGUAUUAACAUGAUUCUGAAGAGAAGCUAGUGUUUUAAAUCCUCUUUCACAAACGCUACAUUUAUGUGGCCUUUCCUCAGAAUGUGAUUUCAUAUGUCGUGAUAGCAGAUCGUUUUGGACUUGUGUAGUUACAGUAAUUACACAUAUGAGCUUGAGUAACAGUUUGGGACUUUUUAGGUAAGAUUUUUACAAUCUUAGUUUUGUCAUCUUCUGCUUCUGAUUCCACAGGUACUUCAUUAUCUUCAUUAUCUUCAAAGUCAUAAACUGUAAGAUCUUGUUCUCCUUCUCCUUCUUCACCUUCUGUUCCUUCUCGUGCUAUUGGUUUGCUUUCCUUAUCCUCAGCAUCAGGUUGCUGAACUAUUAGUACAUAACUGACUUCACCAGGAUUGGUAUCAGAUGGUACAAUAGUAACUGUUUGAUAUGCAUCUCCAGAGUUGAUUACAACCUCAUUAUUCCCAUUACUCGUUACCUGGCCCUAUAAAAAACAACAUACUUUUAUAGUAAUGGUAU